Molecule: ribosomal RNA, 326 nt
Filed under: uncultured bacterium
Lineage: Bacteria
Description: bacterial SSU rRNA
Rfam family: Bacterial small subunit ribosomal RNA
Source: RNAcentral
GAUGAACGCUGGCGGCGUGCUUAACACAUGCAAGUCGAACGGAGAGCUAUUGACGGAGUUUUCGGACAACAGAUAUAGUUUCUUAGUGGCGGACGGGUGAGUAACGCGUGAGGAACCUGCCUUGGAGAGGGGAAUAACACAGAGAAAUUUGUGCUAAUACCGCAUAAGACCACAGAGCCGCAUGGCUCAGGGGUCAAAGGAGAAAUCCGCUGAAGGAUGGCCUCGCGUCCGAUUAGCUAGAUGGCGGGGUAACGGCCCACCAUGGCGACGAUCGGUAGCCGGACUGAGAGGUUGAUCGGCCACAUUGGGACUGAGACACGGCCCAG